UACGUAGGUGGCAAGCGUUGUCCGGAUUUACUGGGCGUAAAGGGCGUGCAGGCGGUCUGUUAAGUGCAGGGUGAAAGCUCCCGGCUCAACUGGGAGAGGUCCUUGCAUACUGGCGGACUUGAGGGGGGUAGAGGAAAGUGGAAUUCCCGGUGUAGUGGUGGAUAUGCGUAGAUAUCGGGAGGAACACCAGUGGCGAAGGCGAGUCCCUGGACAUUUCCUGACACUGAGGCACGAAAGCGUGGGAGCAAACAGGG
Molecule: ribosomal RNA, 254 nt
Filed under: uncultured bacterium
Lineage: Bacteria
Description: partial 16S ribosomal RNA
Rfam family: Bacterial small subunit ribosomal RNA
Source: RNAcentral